CUAAGGUAGCGAAAUUCCUUGUCGGGUAAGUUCCGACCUGCACGAAUGGUGUAACCAUGGCCAUGCUGUCUCCACCCGAGACUCAGUGAAAUCGAAUUCGCCGUGAAGAUGCGGUGUACCCGCGGCUAGACGGAAAGACCCCGUGAACCUUUACUACAGCUUGGCACUGAACAUUGAACCUACAUGUGUAGGAUAGGUGGGAGGCUUUGAAGGCGUGACGCCAGUUGCGCUGGAGCCGUCCUUGAAAUACCACCCUUGUAUGUUUGAUGUUCUAACGCAGGCCCCUGAAUCGGGGUCGCGGACAGUGCCUGGUGGGUAGUUUGACUGGGGCGGUCUCCUCCCAAAGAGUAACGGAGGAGCACGAAGGUUAGCUAAUCCUGGUCGGACAUCAGGAGGUUAGUGCAAUGGCAUAAGCUAGCUUGACUGCGAGAGUGACGGCGCGAGCAGGUGCGAAAGCAGGUCAUAGUGAUCCGGUGGUUCUGAAUGGAAGGGCCAUCGCUCAACGGAUAAAAGGUACUCCGGGGAUAACAGGCUGAUACCGCCCAAGAGUUCAUAUCGACGGCGGUGUUUGGCACCUCGAUGUCGGCUCAUCACAUCCUGGGGCUGAAGUCGGUCCCAAGGGUAUGGCUGUUCGCCAUUUAAAGUGGUACGCGAGCUGGGUUCAGAACGUCGUGAGACAGUUCGGUCCCUAUCUGCCGUGGGCGUUGGAUGAUUGAAGGGAGUUGCUCCUAGUACGAGAGGACCGGAGUGAACGAACCUCUGGUGUUCGGGUUGUCACGCCAGUGGCACUGCCCGGUAGCUAAGUUCGGAAUCGAUAACCGCUGAAAGCAUCUAAGCGGGAAGCGAGCCCUGAGAUGAGUCAUCCCUGACCCCUUGAGGGUCCUAAAGGGCCGUUGGAGACCACAACGUUGAUAGGUGGGGUGUGUAAGCGCGGCGACGUGUUGAGCUAACCCAUACUAAUUACCCGUGAGGCUUAACCAU
This 981-nucleotide ribosomal RNA is filed under the name bioreactor sludge metagenome. Its description in RNAcentral is "bacterial LSU rRNA". It matches the Rfam family "Bacterial large subunit ribosomal RNA", at positions 1951 to 2925 of the family's 2925-position model. The record is from RNAcentral.